RNAcentral lists this ribosomal RNA (712 nucleotides) under Progoniada regularis. RNAcentral's name for it is "SSU rRNA". It matches the Rfam family "Eukaryotic small subunit ribosomal RNA", at positions 523 to 1238 of the family's 1831-position model. The record is from RNAcentral. Lineage: Eukaryota; Metazoa; Annelida; Polychaeta; Phyllodocida; Goniadidae.
CUUUAAAUCCUUUAACGAGGAUCAAUUGGAGGGCAAGUCUGGUGCCAGCAGCCGCGGUAAUUCCAGCUCCAAUAGCGUAUACUAAAAUUGUUGCAGUUAAAAAGCUCGUAGUUGGAUCUCGGGUGCCGGCAGGCGGUUGGCCGCAAGGCCUUAACUGCCUGCUCCGGCCCGGCCUCCUGGUCGUGCCCUGGUUCUCUUAACCGAGUGCCUUGGGUGACCGGAACGUUUACUUUGAUAAAAUUAGAGUGUUCAAGGCAGGCUGUCGGCCUGGAUGGUGGUGCAUGGAAUAAUGGAAUAGGACCUCGGUUCCGUUCUGUUGGUACUUAGGAAGCAGAGGUAAUGAUUAAGAGGGACGGCCGGGGGCAUCCGUAUUACGGUGUUAGAGGUGAAAUUCUGUGAUCAUCGUAAGACGAACAGAAGCGAAAGCGUUUGCCAAGAAUGUUUUCAUUAAUCAAGAACGAAAGUCAGAGGUUCGAAGACGAUCAGAUACCGUCGUAGUUCUGACCAUAAACGAUGCCGACUAGCGAUCUAUCGGAGUUGCAUCGCGACCCGGCAGGCUGCCCCCGGGAAACCAAAGUCUAUGGGUUCCGGGGGGAGUAUGGUUGCAAAGCUGAAACUUAAAGGAAUUGACGGAAGGGCACCACCAGGAGUGGAGCCUGCGGCUUAAUUUGACUCAACGCGGGGAAACCUACCAGGCCCGGACACUGUAAGG